Molecule: long non-coding RNA, 3831 nt
Filed under: Homo sapiens (human)
Lineage: Eukaryota; Metazoa; Chordata; Mammalia; Primates; Hominidae
Description: HSALNT0349304
Source: RNAcentral
GUGAUCCACCAGCCUCGGCCUCACAAAGUGCUGGGAUUACAGGUAUGAGCCACCACGCCCAGCCUGCAAACAUAUGUUGAACUCUUUGCACAGUGCCCUGCAUGAGAUAGAUGACAGCUCCUUCUUCCAUGUUGUUAAUUUGGUGUGAGUAUAUGUUAUAUGUAUGUAUAUGCAAGAUAAUAAUCUUCUUGUAACCACUGACAGGCCUUUUUGUGAAUGAUGAUGGAAAAAGCAAGAACCUUGUCCAGGUUCCUCUCCAGGGAGCAGGGGUGGGUUGUGAUUCUUGAUUUCAUUCCUUUAGAUAUGAAGAGUUUUCACACAGAGGCAGCACGAAUUUGUCUCUCUCCUAGAGGGUGGGGAGAGUUGCUGGGUGGAUAUAACUGCAUCACAGCCUUUCUGGGUAAACUGGCCACUCCCUACUGAUUUGUUAUCAUGCUAAAUGUGUCUCCUCCCUUCCUUUCUGGAGCUUUUGCAGCUGUUCCUGGAAGGAGACCCAGUUGAAAGGGGUUGUUAUGGACCAGGAACAGCUGGGAUCUUUAAUGAUCUGUGAGCAGCUUACAGCAAAGUUCCAACACCCUGAGUAUCAGUCCCCAAAUCCUUGGUCUUUGCAUUCCAACACAAAGUAAAAAGGAUUGAGCAGGGUUUUGGUUUUGGUUGCAAGUAACAGAAACCCAACGCUAAUUAAUAAACGGGAAAGUGUGUCAGUGGAAAUGUAAGUAAGAAGAGAUUUCAUUUACUGGCCAAUUCAAAAGAUGACAAGCUUUAGGCGUGGCUCAGUCCAGUGGCUCAUGAUGUCUUCAGGACUCAGUGUUUCUCUGUUGUCAUCUCUUAGUUCUAUUAUUUUUUCUGUGUUGGUUCAUUAUGAGGUUUCCUUUAGAGGGUGGCAGAGAAAGCCACUAGUUGCUUCAAGUCUUUAUUUUACCAGCUCCACAAGUCCGACGGAAAGAGAAAACUGCUUUCCCAAAGGGUGUAAGAGGAUGAAAGGCAUGUCAUCAGCUGAAUUGCAUCAGGUGUCCAUCUUGGAAUCAAUCACGGUGCCUCUUAUUAGCAAAGCCUGAGUCAUAGGUGAGUCUAUACUUGGAUGGGGUAGUAAGGAAAUCCCAUGUUGAUUGCAUGGAUGGAAAGUGGGGGUGUUGUGGUUUCAUAAUGGCUUAUUAGGGUUCAAUAAUCAGAACACCAAAUAAUCCAUGCUGGGAGGUAAAAAUUGCAGAUAUUUUACUUUAUGCCCCAAACUAGACUUCAAAUCUGUGCUGCUCUUCCAAUCAUGAAUCCGCAGAACAGAGGAUAGAAAGUUCAGGUCAAUUCAAAUUUGACAAACACUUUCCGAGCACUUACUAUGUGCCAAUAUCCGUGGGAGGCCCUGGGAAACCAAAGAUGAAUGAAACACAAACUCUGAUGUCAGAGACCUCACAGUCUGGUGUUUAAGACGAUAAUAGUCUGGAUUAGAUUCUGGUGUGAUGAGAUGGAUUGUCUCAUAAAAAACAGAGGGAAGGGAUUAUUUAACUCUGAUGGGUGGCUGGGUGCUGAGAAGACCCUCAGAGGGUGUAACCUUUGAGUCUUAAGGAGGAUUAAGUUUAAAGGGGAUUUUGUUGGAGGAUAAGCAUCAAGGAAAGCAUUCCAGGAAGAGAGACGGGCAUAUGCAAAGGUAUAGUGUUGUGACCUCUGAUUAAAUAUGGAUGAGACAGGACAGGGAAAAACACACUUGUUAGAUUGUGGCAAAUGCCCAUGUGAAGUGAUUAAGUGACUGAAAUUGGGCAGAGGUGGUGUGCUGGUAGAUUCUAAGGUGACCCCAGUGAUCCAUGCCUUGUAAAAUCUUCUCCCCUGUGAGUGCUCCUUGGUGAGCAGGUGAUGUUAUAUUGGGAGAUUGACUAUAAGAAGGGGAGACUAUCUGUGUGGUCCUGGCCUAAUGACAUGAAUCCUUUAAGAGCAGAGCUUUCUCCAGCUGGUAGAAAAAGGGGAAGUAUGAGACUUAAAGGUGGAGGUGGCCCCAUGGAAAAGACCUAAGGGUAGCCUGCGGGAACUGAGAGAAAACCCCAACUGGCAGCCAGCAAGAAAACAGGGACCUUAAUCUUACGACCACAAGGAACUGGACUCUGCUACCAGAAUGAGCUGCAAGGGAGAUUCUUCCUCAGAAGCUUCAGAUAAGAACUCCACCUGGCUGACCUUUGAUUUUGGUUUUGUGAGAACUUUGGCAGAUAACCCAGGCAUGUGUCAUUUCACAUCUGCAUAAAAAGACAUGCUGAAGGAUGUUCCUUGCAGAAUGGUUAUAGAGAAAAAUGGGAAUAACCACGAUAUAAAGUAACAGGAUUUCAACAGUGAAGGAGACCUGAGAAACCAUAAAAUCAAUCUCUCAAAUUGAAGUUGAAAAAAGCAAAUCAUCUCUCACACCCACCCUGAUUGAUCCAGAGCCAAUGGGUUCAUUUAAAACUCUCUUUCAUGAUGGCAAUGAAUAAAAGAGGAUCCUAGACCAUCAGAAGAUUUUAGCCUUGGAGCUCCCCACCGUCCUAACACACACAGAUAGAGCUGGCUCCGAACUCUGCUGCUUCCAUGGUCGUGGCUACCUACUACUCUGUUCCUACUUCAUCUUCACUGUGAUUUUUGUCCAUAUGUCAGACUGAAGCAGACUGCUUAGGGCCUUGGGUUGAGGGAGCUUAUAGAACCUUGGGAACCAGGAACCCUUUAGGACCCUGUGAACUACAAGUCUGCUAUUUUAGGAAGUGGAUAAAAUGGCAUUUUGACAGAUCUGGAGGGUCUUGGAUCUACCUUUCAACAUUGGCAUUACUGAUAUUAGAGUACCACCACUCACUAGCUGUGGAGAUGUAGGAAGAUUACUUAACCACUCAGAGCCUUGGUUUCCUCAUUUGUUAUGUGAAGAUGACAAUAUCAGAUGACAGUGAGAUCUGAGAUGAAUUUAACUGCCUUCAGUAGUGCUGGCCUGCUCCUGAGAGAGAGAUGAUUGAGAGGGAGGAAGUAGAGAGGAGGAAGAAGCCUUUACUCACACUCCUUGAGGAGUGAUUCAGGUGGACAGCCUGAAUUACGGGAUUUAUUGGCAGCAAGUAAGUAUUGUCUGAGUGGAUUACUGCAAAAUGCUUUAGCUGGGGAUGGCUUUGAAAACCACUCAUCAAUUACAGAUGGUACCCAGUAUAGCAGCAGGAGUACCCUUGCGGGCUUUUGUUAUCUCCGACCUCUUCCUUCAUGGGUGACCGUUCUAACCCAAAGACCUCAACUGUUCAUCAAAAACCUGCCACUCAGAACUGCAUAUCAAUUAUUAAACAAUGUCCCAUGCAGGACAGUGACUUUAAAUUAUCUUGGAAAUGAUAAAGACCAACAUUUGUCUUUGUUAACAUGCUGAGUGAUUCUGUGGUCUCUAGUCACAGGUGAAAGGAUCAGAUUUGAGAUUUCUAGACACCAGAAUCACAUUAGGGUUAAGCAAAACUCCAUCUUUUCCCAGAGAAAAUUUAGCCAGAAAUGUUGCUUAUUUGAGAUGAGAAGUAAGAUGAAGUGUUCUAACAUGGCGGAGCUUGAUAUGCAAAUGAGCCCAUCUAGGGACAGUAGGGAUUGGUAAUGUGGGUCUGUGGAUGCCUGGAAGGCUCACAGAAAGACUUCAGGAAUUCCUGAGUCUCUUCAAAGUGUAAGCAAAAUUUUGUGUGUAUUUUCUUAUUUGCAUGAUAUGGCUUGGCUGUGUCCCCACCCAAACCUUAUCUCGAAUUGUAACUCCCACAAUUCCCACAUGUCGUGGAAGGAUCCUGGUGGGAUUCAUUAUGGGGGCAGGUCUUUCCAGUGCUGUUCUCAUGAUAGUGAAUGAGUCUCACAAUAUCUGAUGGUUUUAAA